RNAcentral lists this ribosomal RNA (464 nucleotides) under Vreelandella stevensii. RNAcentral's name for it is "partial 16S ribosomal RNA". It matches the Rfam family "Bacterial small subunit ribosomal RNA", at positions 338 to 795 of the family's 1533-position model. Lineage: Bacteria; Pseudomonadati; Pseudomonadota; Gammaproteobacteria; Oceanospirillales; Halomonadaceae. The record is from RNAcentral.
CCUACGGGGGGCUGCAGUGGGGAAUAUUGGACAAUGGGCGAAAGCCUGAUCCAGCCAUGCCGCGUGUGUGAAGAAGGCCUUCGGGUUGUAAAGCACUUUCAGUGGGGAAGAAAGCCUUGGGGCUAAUACCCUCGAGGAAGGACAUCACCCACAGAAGAAGCACCGGCUAACUCCGUGCCAGCAGCCGCGGUAAUACGGAGGGUGCGAGCGUUAAUCGGAAUUACUGGGCGUAAAGCGCGCGUAGGCGGUCUGAUAAGCCGGUUGUGAAAGCCCCGGGCUCAACCUGGGAACGGCAUCCGGAACUGUCAGGCUAGAGUGCAGGAGAGGAAGGUAGAAUUCCCGGUGUAGCGGUGAAAUGCGUAGAGAUCGGGAGGAAUACCAGUGGCGAAGGCGGCCUUCUGGACUGACACUGACGCUGAGGUGCGAAAGCGUGGGUAGCAAACAGGAUUAGAUACCCGAUAGUC